This is a non-coding RNA of Haemonchus contortus (barber pole worm), 75 nucleotides long. The record is from Rfam. Lineage: Eukaryota; Metazoa; Nematoda; Chromadorea; Rhabditida; Trichostrongylidae.
GGCACAAACUUGAAGUAGAGUAGAUUAGUAGGGUCAGGUGAUCCUUCUAAUCUACUUAACUUCAAAUUUGGGCUC